This 172-nucleotide small RNA is filed under the name human gut metagenome. RNAcentral describes it as "Bacteroidales-1 6S-Bacteroidales RNA suggested". It matches the Rfam family "Bacteroidales-1 6S-Bacteroidales RNA suggested". RNAcentral also lists the same sequence under 1 other name. The record is from RNAcentral.
AGUAGAUUGGGAAACUCUUCAAAUUAUUAUGAAAUGCCGAGACAAGCUUAGUCGUCUGAUGGCGGGCCCCAAUUCCUGCAAAGGAAUGCUUUCAUGCCAGGCGGAUUACAAAGGACGGCGAGCUCUCAAAUCCUGUCUAUUCGGAGUUUCAUCGCAUCCUUUGAUGUGGAAU